RNAcentral lists this ribosomal RNA (497 nucleotides) under uncultured bacterium. Its description in RNAcentral is "partial 16S ribosomal RNA". It matches the Rfam family "Bacterial small subunit ribosomal RNA", at positions 28 to 507 of the family's 1533-position model. The record is from RNAcentral.
GACGAACGCUGGCGGCGUGCCUAAUACAUGCAAGUAGAACGCUGAAGAGAGGAGCUUGCUCUUCUUGGAUGAGUUGCGAACGGGUGAGUAACGCGUAGGUAACCUGCCUUGUAGCGGGGGAUAACUAUUGGAAACGAUAGCUAAUACCGCAUAACAAUGGAUGACACAUGUCAUUUAUUUGAAAGGGGCAAUUGCUCCACUACAAGAUGGACCUGCGUUGUAUUAGCUAGUAGGUGAGGUAAUGGCUCACCUAGGCGACGAUACAUAGCCGACCUGAGAGGGUGAUCGGCCACACUGGGACUGAGACACGGCCCAGACUCCUACGGGAAGCAGCAGUAGGGAAUCUUCGGCAAUGGGGGCAACCCUGACCGAGCAACGCCGCGUGAGUGAAGAAGGUUGUCGGAUCGUAAAGCUCUGUUGUAAGUCAAGAACGGGUGUGAGAGUGGAAAGUUCACACUGUGACGGUAGCUUACCAGAAAGGGACGGCUAACUACGUG